Molecule: ribosomal RNA, 543 nt
Filed under: Lactobacillus amylovorus
Lineage: Bacteria; Bacillati; Bacillota; Bacilli; Lactobacillales; Lactobacillaceae
Description: bacterial SSU rRNA
Rfam family: Bacterial small subunit ribosomal RNA
Source: RNAcentral
CUAAUACAUGCAAGUCGAGCGAGCGGAACCAACAGAUUUACUUCGGUAAUGACGUUGGGAAAGCGAGCGGCGGAUGGGUGAGUAACACGUGGGGAACCUGCCCCUAAGUCUGGGAUACCAUUUGGAAACAGGUGCUAAUACCGGAUAAUAAAGCAGAUCGCAUGAUCAGCUUUUGAAAGGCGGCGUAAGCUGUCGCUAAGGGAUGGCCCCGCGGUGCAUUAGCUAGUUGGUAAGGUAACGGCUUACCAAGGCGACGAUGCAUAGCCGAGUUGAGAGACUGAUCGGCCACAUUGGGACUGAGACACGGCCCAAACUCCUACGGGAGGCAGCAGUAGGGAAUCUUCCACAAUGGACGCAAGUCUGAUGGAGCAACGCCGCGUGAGUGAAGAAGGUUUUCGGAUCGUAAAGCUCUGUUGUUGGUGAAGAAGGAUAGAGGUAGUAACUGGCCUUUAUUUGACGGUAAUCAACCAGAAAGUCACGGCUAACUACGUGCCAGCAGCCGCGGUAAUACGUAGGUGGCAAGCGUUGUCCGGAUUUAUUGGG